RNAcentral lists this ribosomal RNA (448 nucleotides) under uncultured bacterium. RNAcentral's name for it is "bacterial SSU rRNA". It matches the Rfam family "Bacterial small subunit ribosomal RNA", at positions 330 to 793 of the family's 1533-position model. The record is from RNAcentral.
GCCAGACUCCUACGGGAGGCAGCAGUGGGGGAUAUUGCACAAUGGGGGAAACCCUGAUGCAGCGACGCCGCGUGGGCGAAGAAGUAUUUCGGUAUGUAAAGCCCUAUCAGCAGGGAAGAAGAAAUGACGGUACCUGAGUAAGAAGCCCCGGCUAACUACGUGCCAGCAGCCGCGGUAAUACGUAGGGGGCAAGCGUUAUCCGGAUUUACUGGGUGUAAAGGGGGCGCAGACGGCGAUGCAAGCCAGGAGUGAAAGCCCGGGGCCCAACCCCGGGACUGCUCUUGGAACUGCGUGGCUGGAGUGCAGGAGGGGCAGGCGGAAUUCCUGGUGUAGCGGUGAAAUGCGUAGAUAUCAGGAGGAACACCGGUGGCGAAGGCGGCCUGCUGGACUGCAACUGACGUUGAGGCCCGAAAGCGUGGGGAGCAAACAGGAUUAGAUACCCGUGUAC